CUGGCUCAGGAUGAACGCUGGCGGCGUGCCUAAUACAUGCAAGUCGAACGCUUUGUGGUUCAACUGAUUUGAAGAGCUUGCUCAGAUAUGACGAUGGACAUUGCAAAGAGUGGCGAACGGGUGAGUAACACGUGGGAAACCUACCUCUUAGCAGGGGAUAACAUUUGGAAACAGAUGCUAAUACCGUAUAACAAUGACACCCGCAUGGUUGUUAUUUAAAAGAUGGUUCUGCUAUCACUAAGAGAUGGUCCCGCGGUGCAUUAGCUAGUUGGUAAGGUAAUGGCUUACCAAGGCGAUGAUGCAUAGCCGAGUUGAGAGACUGAUCGGCCACAAUGGGACUGAGACACGGCCCAUACUCCUACGGGAGGCAGCAGUAGGGAAUCUUCCACAAUGGGCGAAAGCCUGAUGGAGCAACGCCGCGUGUGUGAUGAAGGGUUUCGGCUCGUAAAACACUGUUGUAAGAGAAGAAUGACAUUGAGAGUAACUGUUCAAUGUGUGACGGUAUCUUACCAGAAAGGAACGGCUAAAUACGUGCCAGCAGCCGCGGUAAUACGUAUGUUCCAAGCGUUAUCCGGAUUUAUUGGGCGUAAAGCGAGCGCAGACGGUUAUUUAAGUCUGAAGUGAAAGCCCUCAGCUCAACUGAGGAAUUGCUUUGGAAACUGGAUGACUUGAGUGCAGUAGAGGAAAGUGGAACUCCAUGUGUAGCGGUGAAAUGCGUAGAUAUAUGGAAGAACACCAGUGGCGAAGGCGGCUUUCUGGACUGUAACUGACGUUGAGGCUCGAAAGUGUGGGUAGCAAACAGGAUUAGAUACCCUGGUAGUCCACACCGUAAACGAUGAGUGCUAGGUGUUUGAGGGUUUCCGCCCUUAAGUGCCGCAGCUAACGCAUUAAGCACUCCGCCUGGGGAGUACGACCGCAAGGUUGAAACUCAAAGGAAUUGACGGGGACCCGCACAAGCGGUGGAGCAUGUGGUUUAAUUCGAAGCAACGCGAAGAACCUUACCAGGUCUUGACAUCCCUUGACAACUCCAGAGAUGGAGCGUUCCCUUCGGGGACAAGGUGACAGGUGGUGCAUGGUUGUCGUCAGCUCGUGUCGUGAGAUGUUGGGUUAAGUCCCGCAACGAGCGCAACCCUUAUUACUAGUUGCCAGCAUUCAGUUGGGCACUCUAGUGAGACUGCCGGUGACAAACCGGAGGAAGGUGGGGAUGACGUCAAAUCAUCAUGCCCCUUAUGACCUGGGCUACACACGUGCUACAAUGGCGUAUACAACGAGUUGCCAACCCGCGAGGGUGAGCUAAUCUCUUAAAGUACGUCUCAGUUCGGAUUGUAGGCUGCAACUCGCCUACAUGAAGUCGGAAUCGCUAGUAAUCGCGGAUCAGCACGCCGCGGUGAAUACGUUCCCGGGUCUUGUACACACCGCCCGUCACAGCAUGAGAGUUUGUAACACCCAAAGCCGGUGGGGUAACCUUCGGGAGCCAGCCGUCUAAGGUGGGACAGAUGAUUAGGGUGAAGUCGUAACAAGGUAGCCGUAGGAGAACCUGCGCCUGAA
RNAcentral lists this ribosomal RNA (1548 nucleotides) under Weissella sp. MMZ50B. RNAcentral's name for it is "bacterial SSU rRNA". It matches the Rfam family "Bacterial small subunit ribosomal RNA". Lineage: Bacteria; Bacillati; Bacillota; Bacilli; Lactobacillales; Lactobacillaceae. The record is from RNAcentral.